This is a long non-coding RNA of Vespula vulgaris, 8520 nucleotides long. RefSeq lists it as uncharacterized. The transcript has 3 exons. The record is from RefSeq and is a predicted model, not a curated record. Lineage: Eukaryota; Metazoa; Arthropoda; Insecta; Hymenoptera; Vespidae.
AUUUUAUCUAAAAAUGUUUUACGAUAUAUUUUUGAAAUAGUGUGACGUCGCUGGCAAGCAUAUUGGAAUAAUCAUAUUUUAUUUAUUUACGCAAGCGAAGAAGUAUCGACCUUAGUAAUGUUUUACGAAGAACAUACGAGGAAUUACAGGGCGAUCAAAGUGCGUGAUUCUUACUUGAACAAGAUGCGCAUCAUACUUGACCUACGACUUACGAUUACAUCAGGCAUCAUCAGUAGAUGAAAAGAAUUGCUUCUUGGAAAUUUAAGAUAGCGCAUUCUAGCGGACCCAUUAGUAAGCAUGAGAAAAUACUUAAGAUAUUAUGUUAAUUUGUAUCCGAUUAUUUUUGAAAUUAUGUAGACUUUAUUUAAUUAUUAGAAUAUUUAAUAUUAUUUAACAUUUAUACAUACAGCAACAAAACUAAUGACAUAAUUAAAACGUACGUUCAUUAAUUCUGCAUUUAAAACAUACGUGCAUUAAUUCUGCAUUAUACAUUAUUUACUCAUUAAAUUUAUACAUCUUAUAAUUUUAUUUGAUGAAAAAAGAAACUCAAAAAGUCGCAAUAAACGGAGAACACCCGUGCAAGUUUUCAACCUUAUUUUCGAUCUUAUUUUUUUUUUCUAUUAUUCGUGGAUACUGAAAUAAAUUUCAACGUCAUAAAAAUUCUUGGCGAGAGAAAGAGGAACAUCUUCCGGGUCUUAAUCUAGUACCCCUUUGAUCAUCUCGUUCCCUUUUUCAUCCCUUCACAACGGUCGACCUUCACCGCUGCGUUGAUAACCCACUGAAAUAAUUCAUUUUCGGCGGAAACUCCGAGUCUCCGCUUGCACGCUUCGCACGAUUGCCUCCAGUGGCCGUGGCCAUCCACUUCCGGUUGCACCGGCAACGCGCGAAUCGUAAAUCGCAGACGCUCGGAUAUAUAUGUGUUCCUGCUAAUCAAGUCUCUGAUGUAUCGUAUAUCGUCCUUUCUCUCUCUCUCUCUCUGUCUCUCAUUCUCUAGUUUCAAGCUUCGUCGUCCAAUAACAAAGAUACGCGGAGAUCACCAAGCCGCGCUGUGUGACAUAAAACUCAAGAAAAAAUGAUAUAACAGUUUGUAUUCAUAAACCAUUCGUAUGCACAUAAACAUAUAUCUAUAUUAGUAACAAUGGGAAAAUGGAUCGCAAAAAUAUUCGGAUACUUAUUGAAAUUGAAUAACAUUUUACAGACUGUAUAAAAUAAUCUAAACUUUGGUAUAGAUAAUAAAAAAAUUAAUAUGCUAUAGUAAAAGAAGUAAUAAAAAUAAAAUGAAAAUUUGUUUGGUUUCAUUGUUGUAUAGUUCUAUAUAAAGCACAUAUAACAUUAAUUUGUUUGUAUUUAUUAAAAAUUUCACAAGACUUUAUUUGGCUUAAAAGAAGAAUGAUAUAAUUUCGAAAAUUUAUUUGUAUAUUUCUGCGAUGUAUUGUAUACAUAUGUAUGUAAGUAUGUAGAAUUUAUGCGUUAAAUUAAAAUAAAUGUGUAGGUAAUUAAUUUAUUCGAAAAGUGUACGUUAUACAGAUUUAAGAGAGAAUAAUUUGUACAAUAUAAUAACAAUAUUUGUAAAUGUUAACAUUUCAUUGCAUUUAUUACGUAUGUUUAAUCUUAUUUCUACAGUGAUAACGUCUAUUAUUUUUACUGUUCAAACAUCUCCCUGUUAUUCCUAUAUUAAAAGGUUCGUUAAAUAUUCGUGGCUUUUUUUCUAUAUUAUUUUCCAUACGAAGGAUCAGGUUAUCUUUCGUUAGGAUUAUCGAAGGGAAAGAAAAAUAUAUUAUGAGCCUGUAUGUGUGUGGAAACGUCCAGUAGCUUUACCAACGUCCAUUUGCGAGAUCUCUAUGCUUGGUUAGUUUAAUUACCUUAUUCCCAUUAUGGUCGAAUUCAUAUAGGUUUAUUUAACAGUACUUUGAUUUUUGAAGCGGUAUACUUAAUCAAGUUGGUAUAUAGACGAUGGCGUACGUUCUGUUACAAAAUUUGUUGCUUGAGUAAAUUUAUCGUUUUCUGAAUAAGAUAGUUCACAUUUAAGUAAUUAGCCCCCUUACUAUUCUUUGAAAUAUGCAAUUCUCCAUCUCUGUUCAGGCGGAUUCCAUUAAAUCUAGGAUGAUUUCUGCAACGUUUAAGUUAUAAAAUAUAACGUUCACGAUCUUUAAUGAAUUUUAUUAAUAGAAGAUAAUAUCCCUGGACGUAUUUCCGAUCAUCAGUUCAGCAUUGAUAAAAUAUCUAAUUAGUCGUCAAAAGGGAGAUGGAAUUUGUUCGAUAUAAGGAAGGAUCGUUCGAAAGAUUUCCUUAAGAAAAGAUUUUUCAUUCGAAUAUUGUAACUUAAAGAUUUGAGUAGGUUUUAUUACAGAGACCGCAUACGAGAAGAAAUUUUUGAGAAAUUGCUAAAAGUAAUAGUGAUAUAAAAAGUUAGCUAGACGUUCGUAACAAGUUCCGACGUUGGGUCUAACUUGUCAGACUUCGGAACGGUAACCGGAGAUAAAUGGAGGCAGAUUAUACAUCAUAUGAGAUUUCUCGCGCGAGUAUUAUCCAUCAUUGGAAGGAAAUAAAUGGUUCUGAUAUUUCUCUUAUUAAUGAAUAAGUCCUUUUAAGUAAGCGGUAUUAGGCAUGCACGCGGUUUAUCCAUUAGUCGUAAAUAAAGAGUUUGAUUAUGCAAAAUGUAUAAAAAAUUAAUUUCUUUUAAUGGCAAGCUUUUUAUAAUAUUGUACAGAAUAAAAAGGGUAGAGCCGAAAGGAGAUACAGGAAUGAAAUUAUUCGAUAAAUCAAAAUAUCGUGACUUACGCGCAAAUAAUUGUUGUAAAUAACGCCGAUUAAAACGAUGAUAGCGAGAAAGGUUAAAAAACUCCAUCCUUGCCAUCCGUAAAAAGGAAUAUUCGAACGAAAAUCGGCUUUUCUUGCACAAACACCCAUUGAUAUCAAUUUAUAAUUCCUAUAUUAAAAUAUUUCCUGAGAUAACAAAUUUUGCGGAUGGUUUGUUGAAAUUUUGUUAUUAUUUUCUUUCCUUUUAAAAAACGAGAGGUUAUUUUACCGCCGAAAGCGUGCCAUGUUAUUGAUGUUACUAUAGACACUAGACCGUGGCGAAAGUAAUGUUGAAAAAAGCAUACCGCUUUUACGACGACGAAGAUGACCGCAUCUAUUGUUUUUCGCAAUCGUCAACUCUUGACAAUAUUUUUACUUUAGGUAGAAAGAACUCGAGCUUUCGAGGGAAGAAGCAAAGAGAAAGUAUUAUAUCGUCUAGCUCCAGUGACGGUGAUUCCUUUGGUGUCUAGUAUCCGAACAAACAAAGACGUCGUUUCAGGAAGCACACGUUUUGACAGCUUUGAUCUCAAAGUAAAAACAUGACAAUUCUAUUAUAUUACUUAUCCUUAUUUAUAUCGAAUAUGUUCUUCCAUGGAACAUCGUACGGAAUAAGGUAUAAUCCAACAAGAUAACUAUUUCUGAUUCGGAAAACUUUCUUUUCUUUCGUAAAAAAACUAAAGACAAAAUUCUUGCAAUUUCUCAAUGAUUUAUUCUCGAAUUAUAACGCAACUGAUUCGACUAGGAUACAUCAUUGAGUACGUUGAUAAAGAAAAUAACGCAGGUGCGUUCAUUCAUAACAGAUCCGAAGUAUCCAGGAGCUAUUUACUCAGCGGAAAUUGAUUCCGUGUACACCGGAAACGAACUACUCGACGAAACGUUGACUCUUGGACGCACGCGACUCUGCGUUCUCACGCGUAAAACUCUACGGCUUGAUCCCCACGAGCGAUUCCGCGAUGCGAUUCAUCCCUACUAAAUUGUUUCAUAUCCGUUAGUUUAUGACUCCCAGAGUGGCCGCUUAUCGAAACGCAUUUAGAGAAGUUUUCGAGUAAUCAACGCGAAACCAUCAUCAAAAGAUUUUUGACUUCCGUCCUAUUUGUUUGGUCGUGUUAUAGUUAACUCUAUUCAAAGUUCUCUUUCUUUCAUUUUUCAUUUCAUUAUUUUUAUGACAAACGAAAUAAUACACUUUCUCACACUUCACUUUUUAAAAUAAAUUUAUUAAUUAUUAGAAAGUGUAGUUAAAUAUUCUAGAAAGUAAUUUAUAUUUUUAAAUAAGUUUCACCAAGUAAACAUUUUAUUUUAUACGUUUUCCAACAAAAUGACUAAUGUAGUAACAGUAAUAAUGUAAUUAAUUGAAUAACCAAAUCAGGAAUAAAUACAUAUAAUGCUGCUCGAGUUAGAUUUUAAUUAAAAGUUUCUUUAUCAUUUCCGUAAAUAGUUUUUCUUUAGAUUUCAGGAGAAAACGAAAUAUUUCUACGUUUGUAAGAGGAUCAUUUUGUAUUGUACGUAUAUGUGUACACUGUGUAGUAUUCUGUGAAUAUAUUCGACACAUUUUUAGAAUAAAAAUUACACAGAAUUCUCGUAAAAACUCGUGCACGAUGUUUAUUCACACGGGCGAACACUGUCCAGAAGAAAUGCGUGAAUUUUAAAAAUACGAUACACACACACACAUCCAUCCAUCCGUAUGUAUGUAUUUAUGUAUAUACAAACGAUUUUAUAAUUAACGAAUUGUAAAGGUUUCUAAGCGAGAUUAGCGAGAAAAAAUGUUUAACGAUAACGUGAAAAACGUGAUUAUGCGUAUAUCUUACGUUCUUAUGUUCUUAUUUUUUUUUAUUAGUCAUUAUGUUAGCACAUUUUCAAAAGUUUAUACGAUUCGUUACGUAUUUUUCGUUGUAAUCAUUAAAUUUUACAUAAGUAAGUUAUCGUCGCUUAUUAUCGUUAAUUAGGGAUAUAAAAUAUAUAAUGAAGUUUAAAAAAUUUGUAAAAACGCAGGAAAAUUCAUUACAUAGUUGUUAUCAGGGAAGUAUGUCGUAUUGAAAAACAAAGCUCAGUCGUAAAUUGAAUUUCGCGAAUUUAUGCGCGGCCUGGUCUGUGUUUCGAAAUGGUAAGCAAAAAUAAUAAAGCGCAACUCUCACUGAUAAAUAUCGAGCCAGGGAUUCGUUUUCGAACGAUGAAUUUUAAUGGAUUUGCUAAUGCAAUUUCGUUACAAAAUUGCGAUUAACUUUCGAUGUUUCGUGUUACAUCCGAGAAACCGAAUUUUAUUUAACGUAUACGCGAGAUCAUGUUUUAUCCUUUCUCUUUUAUUUAUUUUACAGAGAACGGAACGUGGAAGUGGAUAAAUCCUGUGCUAGCAUAAAAAUUCCUCAAAAAAAAAAGAAAAAAGAAAAAAAAGGAAAAAGAAAAAAAAAGAAAAAGAAAAAAGAAUGUUAGACCGCGCGAUAUGCGUUUUCAUUCGCGUUUACAUUUAUGUAGUAGCGGCUUAUACUUUCCGUUUCGACCGGUACAUGAAUACACUCGUGUACAUGUGUAUAUAUUAUUUCAAGUCCUCAUUAUACGCUUUUCCAAUGUAACACACGAAUUCCCCACGGGGUAGUAAUAAGUAUUUUUAACAUUCACGUACUAAUUAUUAUUCGGCAUACACCUAGUUACGAUUUGUUGCUAACGAACGUUCUAUCGAAUUACCACGUGUGUACGAAUUAACGAACUUGCAUGUUAUUAUUGUGAAAUGUCCAAUAAUCGAUCGGUACGUAUCAGUAAUUUUUACUGGUUUACGAAUUUAUUUCGUAAAAUAAAGUUAGAUAAUUCGUUUCUUUUUGGUUGAAAUUAUCGACGGUCGACGUACCGUAUAAGCGAAUUUUUACUUUAGAAAGGCAAACGUCGUCUAGUUGAAAAAAGUUUGGAAAUGGUGGACGACGUCUUUUCGAAGUUUCCAAGUCCAUUAUACCAAGAUCUUAGCAAUAAAUUUACAAUACACCGUUUCCGGUGUCGUUCGCUUUAUCGAUUCGAUCGAACGUUCCCAUCGAAUUCCCAGCUAAAUUUGCAUAUAUCCUAGGACGGUGCUGGAAAUCCCGUAUAAAUUUUAACGAGAUACUCUCGCGAGUACUCCAAUCGCACAUUUUAGAAUGAUCGUCCAAAUAUAGCAUUUGCGUGCGAAUUGCGAUGAGAUAGUUGAAAUAUAACAAAGAAUUUCUUCAAUUUCUUCAUAGAUUUUGUUAUUUACGUUAGACAUAAAUAUUUGCGUCAAUUUUUCUUUGUUAUCAAGUUUUAUAAACGGAAGAUUAGAUUAUUCAAUUCUUAUCAGAUCGAGACAUUUUUCAUCGAAUCGUUCAUUGUGUAUUAUCCAGAAUAAUAUAUGUAAUAGAGAUAGAGUAUAGGAAGAGAAAGAACUUUUAUUCUCUUCAUCAAUUUCAAUUUAUUCUCCUUAUCUUAUGUUUUAAACGAACUUGUUUAGAUAUCGCGCACGUUACGAAAUAAACGAACGAAAGGCAUCGAAGUGUUUCAUAACAAUAACAUCUUCGAAGAUAUCAUCGAGAUAUGAUUGUGUUCGAAGAAUGGGUGCACGCGUGAUUUCUUUUCCACUUAUGUUAGUAUCCGACGGUAAAAGAAACCGACAGCUGUUACAAACAGAUUGAGACGAAGUUAGAACAGGCAGUUUCGGAUGUUAGAAGACGAAGAAACGGAGUAUCGUAUUAUCGGGCUUUCGACGAGAGAAAGGGGAGAGUAGUAGAGAUAAUCGAGGAAAAGUAUCGAUUUUCGAUUAACUCCGAAAGUAUCGAUAAUCCGAGUUCACCAAAUAGUACGAUCCUUAGUACCAAAUGCCUCCUUGGGCUGUUCUCUUACAUCAGAACUUUGAAAUUCUCAAACUUUUUAGCCAAUACUCUUUAGCUAUCGGUCACUGUCAGAUUUUUGCAUGACUCUAUCGAGCAGUUCAGUUUGCUCAUUUAGAAGGAAUAGUUUUUUAGAUUAAAAAUAGAAAGUUACUCGAUCUUUGCUAUUGUCAAUACGUCUCUUACGCGUACAAUGCGAGUUAUCACAUGAAGAUCCUUUAAAUGUUCAUUACUUUCACAUUUCAUUUAUUUUUACUUGAUUACUAUCGGACGAACAGAAAGGAUCAUUUCCUUUUAUCUCGUUCAAAUUCGACGAAUUGAAAUCUCGGAGUAAGAGAAGUGAGUAUUAUAUUCACUUUAGGAUAUUUUCAAUUUGAAGUUUUUUAAUUGAUUUCAACCAAGACGAUUUUUUAUCGUUUAUUGACUCUAUAAUCGUUCGAUCGAUUGAUCCAUGCGAUUGGUAUGUGAGACUUCAAAGAGAAUACAUCCUGCCGAUGCGAAAGAGAAAGUAAUGAUAUAUACAUCAAAGAAACGGAAUAAAAUGUCUAUCGAAAAUCGACCAGAAAGGAAGAUUGAUUACUUUUGCAUUUGAUCAUUCGCAAAGAAAUCGCAAAGAAACGUACUAUCCUAGUUUCAGUCUACUAUCUACUUUUCCUAUGUAACUUUUUCCUUAUCUAUUCGCGUAAUUCCAUUGGAUUUCAUUCUUUUAAUCGAACUUCGUGUAAACUCAAUCAUUUCGUUGCGAAAAUAUGAGAGAAAGAAAUGCAAGGGAAAGGGAGAGAUGAUGAUCAAGGGAAAAGGUAUUCCACGUUUGUCGCCUUCCAUUAUUGGAAUUUUCAUUAAUGUCCGCUCUCUUAAAAUGAAUGAGCAUCGAAGUGAGCACGCGAAACGAUUGGCUUUUCUACGGUUAUUAUAAACCGUUUAGAUCAACCUGAAUACAGCUUGCUUUUAUCGUCACGCGAAGAAAUCUGAAUGAAAAUGACAUUAUUGUUCGAGAAACCAUUGGACAAUUCAAUCAAAUUAACAAAAAUUUAAUUAAAAAUCAAAUUCAAAUUUAAAAAGAAAAAUACAAGUCAAAUUAAAUUACCAAAAAAAUUGAUAAUUGUCAAUCGUUCGAUUUCUAUGAAAUUAAUCGUCAAUUAGAUAUUUUCUAAAAAAAAAAAAAAAAAAAAACAAUACAACAAACGAACGAUUAACGUUUACCAUUCUUAAUCAAUCACAUUCAAGUCGAUUAAUUCUUUCGUUCUACUCAUUUUACUGAGCAAUCAGAUUAGAAUUGUCAAAACAGAGAAUUGGACAAAAAACUCUUUUCGAAUCGAUAUUUGAAACUUUAGAUUGCUAUGCAAUGGUUUGUAAAUAUUGUUGACGAAAGCAGUAAACGAAAGAAGUGAAUAUGAAAAAUGUAUAAAAAAAGGAAAAAGAGAGAGAGAACAGUAAAAAUACGCGCAAACCAUUCUAUAACUAGUAGCGACGGUAUCAAAAGUUUUCAACUUUGCGAGUGAGGUGGGGCCGGAGGCAGGAGGUCAUGAAAAAAGCAAGAAAAAAAUAAUAAAAACAAAAAAGAAAAGGUACAGUCGAUAUGAACGAAAUAUUUAGCCACGUGUCAUCGAUCGUUACACUUUUUCCUUUAUUUUUCCACGCGUUUCGACGAUUGUAGGGCAUCGUCCGUGUUUCGUUGUACGUUCGUUGCCUCGCCUUUCUUUCGUUUUUAAAAACAACGAAAAAAAAAAAGAAAAAAAAAUAUAAAAGAGGAAAAAAACAAAAAAGAAAAAAUAAAUAAAUAAAACGAUAGAAAGGUAAAAGAGAAAAACUUUGGAGAAUUUUUCCGUGGCAUUCUUUCCCUUGCUCGUCCUGAUCCAUCGAUCAUUAAUCCUAAGUUAAAUUUCUUCUGAGGAAA